AACGCACCUUGCGCUCCUUGGUAUUCCGAGGAGCAUGCCUGUUUGAGUGUCUUGAAGUCAUCAACCCCUCCCGUUUCUGUGCGAGAGGAAGGUUGGAGCUGGGGGUUUGCGACCGCAAGGGCGCUCCCCUCAAAUGCUUCGGUUGGGCCCGUGGGUCGAACUCGGUUGGGCGUUGUACCAUCCUCGCUCGCGUCCGAGACGUUCCCCUUAGAAUCGAGCCCUUCCAAGGCCUCCUCUGGAGUGGUGGCCAAACUCAUCUAGAAUUCUGACCUCAAAUCAGGUAGGACUACCCGCUGAACUUAA
Molecule: unclassified non-coding RNA, 303 nt
Filed under: uncultured fungus
Lineage: Eukaryota; Fungi
Description: sequence contains ITS2
Rfam family: 5.8S ribosomal RNA (bases 1-52)
Source: RNAcentral